GGGCCCGUAGUAAAGUGGUAUUACGCAGCUUUCGCAUUGCUGAGGCAGGGGUUCGAUUCCCCUCGGGUCCACCA
RNAcentral lists this transfer RNA (74 nucleotides) under bacterium. RNAcentral's name for it is "tRNA-Ala". It matches the Rfam family "tRNA". From Rfam's summary of the family: Transfer RNA (tRNA) molecules are approximately 80 nucleotides in length. Their secondary structure includes four short double-helical elements and three loops (D, anti-codon, and T loops). The record is from RNAcentral.